UGGGGGAUAUUGCGCAAUGGGGGCAACCCUGACGCAGCAACGCCGCGUGAAGGAUGAAGGUUUUCGGAUUGUAAACUUCUUUUAUUAAGGACGAAAAAUGACGGUACUUAAUGAAUAAGCUCCGGCUAACUACGUGCCAGCAGCCGCGGUAAUACGUAGGGAGCAAGCGUUGUCCGGAUUUACUGGGUGUAAAGGGUGCGUAGGCGGCUUUGCAAGUCAGAUGUGAAAUCUAUGGGCUCAACCCAUAAACUGCAUUUGAAACUGUAGAGCUUGAGUGAAGUAGAGGCAGGCGGAAUUCCCCGUGUAGCGGUGAAAUGCGUAGAGAUGGGGAGGAACACCAGUGGCGAAGGCGGCCUGCUGGGCUUUAACUGACGCUGAGGCACGAAAGCGUGGGUAGCAAACAGGAUUAGAUACCCUGGUAGUCCACGCUGUAAACGAUGAUUACUAGGUGUGGGGGGUCUGACCCCUUCCGUGCCGGAGUUAACACAAUAAGUAAUCCACCUGGGGAGUACGGCCGCAAGGUUGAAACUCAAAGGAAUUGACGGGGGCCCGCACAAGCAGUGGAGUAUGUGGUUUAAUUCGAAGCAACGCGAAGAACCUUACCAGGUCUUGACAUCCAACUAACGAAGUAGAGAUACAUUAGGUGCCCUUCGGGGAAAGUUGAGACAGGUGGUGCAUGGUUGUCGUCAGCUCGUGUCGUGAGAUGUUGGGUUAAGUCCCGCAACGAGCGCAACCCUUGCUAUUAGUUGCUACGCAAGAGCACUCUAAUAGGACUGCCGUUGACAAAACGGAGGAAGGUGGGGACGACGUCAAAUCAUCAUGCCCCUUAUGACCUGGGCUACACACGUACUACAAUGGAUGUUAACAGAGGGAAGCAAGACAGCGAUGUGGAGCAAACCCCUAAAAACAUUCUCAGUUCAGAUUGCAAGCUGCAACCCGCCUGCAUGAAGAUGGAAUUGCUAGUAAUCGCGGAUCAGCAUGCCGCGGUGAAUACGUUCCC
RNAcentral lists this ribosomal RNA (1000 nucleotides) under uncultured bacterium. RNAcentral's name for it is "bacterial SSU rRNA". It matches the Rfam family "Bacterial small subunit ribosomal RNA", at positions 355 to 1375 of the family's 1533-position model. RNAcentral also lists the same sequence under 1 other name. The record is from RNAcentral.